Eutrema salsugineum is the source of this 833-nucleotide long non-coding RNA. RefSeq lists it as uncharacterized. The record is from RefSeq and is a predicted model, not a curated record. Lineage: Eukaryota; Viridiplantae; Streptophyta; Magnoliopsida; Brassicales; Brassicaceae. The transcript is spliced from 2 exons.
UUCGUUCUCCGCUCUUUCUAAUCUCUUUCAUUCACUGACAGAGUUUUUCAGAUCCAAUUUCCGUUUUGCCUCUCUGGCGUCUGGCGCUCCUCGCUGGAGCCGUGAGAGGGCUUAUCUUCUUUUUUUAUCUGCCUUGGCUUUUCAUCCAGGCGUUUGGCUUUUGUUUACAGCUGAUUGGUGGCGAUUGGUUUUUUUCUCCGAUGAGAUGGCAGCGAUUUGGCGGCACUUGAAGGUGGAUCCCUAUGCAGAUAUGGAUCUAUUGAGGAUAACAUCUGGUGAUGCUUCCUUAAGGGAUGACGUUGAAGGCUAUCAGCGGCUCCUCCUUCUGUUUCAGUCUCAGAUCCGCCAGCAUUUAAAGGAGAAGUUUCGAGCUGGAGUGGUGACACAAAGCGUUGUGGAUUGUCUAGUAAGCUCUCCGCUCUUGAGGACGGUGGCGAGUCUGAAAUGAAUCUCGGAUAAGGUGUUUUAGGUUGCGUGAACCACCAGCAUUUGUCGAGUAAGCUCGGUAGAGGAGACGAGUAUUGAAAGGCAUCUCGACGGCGGUGGCGGUUUAGUUGGCGACCAACGGCCCGGAUCUCGUUCAUGAAGACGGUGGCAGCGGCUUCCAAGUUCCGAGAUUGCAGAGUCAUAGUCCUGCAAUUAGGGUAUCAGGCGCUCCCGGUUUAGUAGCUGGUUUUGGGCAAUCGGUUUGUGAUCAAAUUCUAAACCGGGACCAUUAUGGGUAUAUUAGGAGUGGGCUUUGGUGUAUUUGUUUGUGUGUUUUUUUUCUCUGCAUUUUACAUUUCAUUUGUAAACUAAAACCCAAACAAAAUUUCAAUAUGAAGACGCUUUAA